AGAAAUCCUCCCUUUCCAUGCCAUGCAAUAGCUGUGGAACCAUUUUGUGGAGGCUGCUAUGGCUCAGUGGCUGGAGUAAGGUUGUUAAGAUACAUAACACAGGCUCAAUUAUGGCCAUAGCUUUGCAAUGUGAAACCACACCACCUCUGGGGACACACUGAGCGCUACACAUUUGAGAGAUCUGGAACACCUGGAGGCUGUGGGCACAGACUAGUACCUCUUUCUGCAGGCUGAUUCCAAGAGGAGGUGGUGUAAGAACAAAGCUCAUUUUGGAUCUGAAAUCCUCUUUUUGCGAGACAGGAGAGGAAGCAUCUGAGAAAAUAUUCAAAGAUCAUGAGGAAGUAGGACAUAAUCCAAGAACCAUUACAGAAAAAAGACUGGUCUUUCACAUUAUUUGAACUCUGAUUUGGAUUUGAUAUAUGUCAAAGUAUAUCUUGGAAAAUUUAAAAAUAAAUAUUAACCUCUUUCUAAACACAUUGGGGAUGGCAGUUGAAUUUGCCUUAAUAAUUAUUACACUAGCAUCCUCUAACUCA
Long non-coding RNA from Chelonia mydas (Green sea turtle), 533 nucleotides. RefSeq lists it as uncharacterized. The transcript has 3 exons. NCBI's taxonomy places the organism in Eukaryota, Metazoa, Chordata, Testudines, Cheloniidae. The record is from RefSeq and is a predicted model, not a curated record.